RNAcentral lists this unclassified non-coding RNA (373 nucleotides) under soil metagenome. Its description in RNAcentral is "partial contains internal transcribed spacer 2 and large subunit ribosomal RNA". The stretch from base 2 to 119 matches the Rfam family "5.8S ribosomal RNA", at positions 37 to 154 of the family's 154-position model. The record is from RNAcentral.
GUGAAGAACGUAGCGAAAUGCGAUAAUUAAUGUGAAUUGCAGAAUUCUGUGAAUCAUCGAGUCUUUGAACGCACAUUGCGCCUCAUGGCAUUCCGUGAGGCAUGCCCAUCUCAGCGUUAGAAAAUAUUCUCAAAUUUUAGUUUUGUGCUAAAAUUUGGAUCAUGUCAAAGAAGCUAUUACUAUUAUUGUGAUCGCUCUUUGGAAAUUGAUAGGUCUUUGAGUUGUUACUCAUAGAACGUGAUGAAUCUUUCUUCGUUCUAUUGUAAUUCACUCUGGUAGUCCUAAAACUUGUAUGCCUGUGGCAUAUCUUGUAAUUUGACCUGAGAUUGGGUAGGGAUACCCGCUGAACUUAAGCAUAUCAAUAAGCGGAGGA